Unclassified non-coding RNA from Microcebus murinus (gray mouse lemur), 315 nucleotides. Its record names the gene 7SK. It matches the Rfam family "7SK RNA". From Rfam's summary of the family: 7SK was discovered as an abundant small nuclear RNA in the mid-70s but a possible function has only recently been suggested. Two independent studies have found that 7SK RNA binds the CDK9/cyclin T complex (known as elongation factor P-TEFb). P-TEFb activates transcription by phosphorylating the C-terminal domain of RNA polymerase II. The record is from Ensembl. NCBI's taxonomy places the organism in Eukaryota, Metazoa, Chordata, Mammalia, Primates, Cheirogaleidae.
AGCCUGUGAAGGCCAUCUGUUUGAAACACAUCUCCCCUGGGGGCCAAGGUUGUCUCAGCUGAUCUGGUGGGAAAGGCAGCCAUCUCCUCUUUUUCUCACCAUUCUACCUGGACUCCUGCCAAUGAUGUACAUUUGGUCAAGGAGCACAACCUCCCAAACAGAGUGCCAUUUAUCUUAUCAAGGGUAUUCAAGGAUCUGUACUAUCCUACAAGUUCUAAAUAAGUUUAUUUAAGGCCAGUGGGGAAAUGACAUACGACAGUAAAUCUUCCAAGACUGCCUUUCUCUAAAAACCUGUCCCAGAGAUUGACAGCACUC